AUACGGAGGAUGCGAGCGUUAUCCGGAUUUAUUGGGUUUAAAGGGAGCGUAGGUGGGAUAUUAAGUCAGCUGUGAAAGUUUGGGGCUCAACCUUAAAAUUGCAGUUGAUACUGGUUUCCUUGAGUACGGUACAGGUGGGCGGAAUUCGUGGUGUAGCGGUGAAAUGCCUAGAUAUCACGAAGAACUCCGAUCGCGAAGGCAGCUCACCGGGCCGGAACUGACACUGAUGCUCGAAAGUGCGGGUAUCAAACAGGAUUAGAUACCCUGGUAGUCCGCACAGUAAACGAUGAAUACUCGCUGUUUGCGAUACACUGUAAGCGGCCAAGCGAAAGCGUUAAGUAUUCCACCUGGGGAGUACGCCGGCAACGGUGAAACUCAAAUGAAUUGGCGGGG
Molecule: ribosomal RNA, 393 nt
Filed under: uncultured bacterium
Lineage: Bacteria
Description: partial 16S ribosomal RNA
Rfam family: Bacterial small subunit ribosomal RNA
Source: RNAcentral